This 305-nucleotide ribosomal RNA is filed under the name uncultured bacterium. RNAcentral describes it as "bacterial SSU rRNA". It matches the Rfam family "Bacterial small subunit ribosomal RNA", at positions 328 to 632 of the family's 1533-position model. The record is from RNAcentral.
UUUCCUCCUUUCUGCAUCCCCCGGGAAUCUUCCACAAUGGGCGACCUCCUUCUUUCUCCCCUCCUCUUUUUUUAAUAAUGUCUUCGGAUCGUAAAACCCUGUUGUUAGAGAAGAAAGUGCGUGAGAGUAACUGUUCACGUUUCGACGGUAUCUAACCAGAAAGCCACGGCUAACUACGUGCCAGCAGCCGCGGUAAUACGUAGGUGGCAAGCGUUAUCCGGAUUUAUUGGGCGUAAAGGGAACGCAGGCGGUCUUUUAAGUCUGAUGUGAAAGCCUUCGGCUUAACCGGAGUAGUGCAUUGGAAA